GGGGACUUUGGAACGGGGGAACCGGAAGCGUAGACAGCUAGGGCUUAUUCAGUUGUGAUGUGCUGUGGUUUACUGGUUUGAUUUCUGCUGGCCAAGUUCCGGGAAGCAUUGUCGAUGGGCAACGACGACCGGCCGACAGGGAUGGCAAGCGGUAGAAGCGAAUAUACAUGUGUUUCGUUGAUGUCACGAUGUGGAGGAAAGGAUUGUUUGUUGUUGCUCCUGUGAUAUCAGGUCAGCGUAGAUACUUGGAACGAGAUAGGUGGGCGGGCGGUGAGCCAAUUUUCCUCGAAAAAUGAUUAACUUGGGAGGGCAGCAAAACACACGGAGAGGUUAAAGAAUUGGUUGAUGUGCCUUGUUCGACUAUGUUUCUUACGGAGUACUAUCUUAACCAUGUUUAUCAUAUCCGUUGUGACAUGUACACGACAACAGGACAAGUGUCUCCAAGAAAAGUUUUUUUUUUUUGGUCUGAAGAUUUCAGGACGAGUUAUCGUGAAUCAUUGGGCGGUCGUGUUUUGGGAGCCUUCCUUGAACGAUCCAGAUUCAGCCCACGGACAUUGCGUGGGCCGUUUCUUCUUGACCAACAACAAAAGGUGCAAGAAUUGUUUUCGAAGUUGGGCUGUACUACUACCCCGCAAGAAUUGCUCGAGAAUUCGGAUACCUCGCCGGGUCCGAGUAAGCAACGACGACCCCGCCGAGGAC
RNAcentral lists this long non-coding RNA (699 nucleotides) under Brachypodium distachyon (stiff brome). RNAcentral describes it as "long non-coding RNA (BDIS_LNC003945)". The record is from RNAcentral. Lineage: Eukaryota; Viridiplantae; Streptophyta; Magnoliopsida; Poales; Poaceae.